This 2745-nucleotide long non-coding RNA is filed under the name Rattus norvegicus (Norway rat). Its description in RNAcentral is "long non-coding RNA NONRATT012802". The record is from RNAcentral. Lineage: Eukaryota; Metazoa; Chordata; Mammalia; Rodentia; Muridae.
CACAGCCUGUGUGCGUGUGCAAGGCCGGCAGUGAAUGCACCUGCCCAGCAGACUCGCCUUCCACAGCCGCCUCUCCAUCCUCCAGUGAAGACUUCACCUCCAACCCAUCCCUCCGCCCACGUGGGGAAGGAGACAUUCCCACUGUUUCUCAGUCAUUCUUGCUUUUGUAGAAAAGAAAAAAAGAAACCCACCAUCAGCUCCAGCAGCAGCUCCUGAGGACCUGCUUCUCCUACUUCCAGAGGAAGAGGGGAGAGAAGGAUGGACUGACUGCCCACAGUUCAUGAAUAACUUUGUUUCUGUUUGCUUUGUAAUGAUAAUGACCAAAGGAGUGAGGCUGACUUAGGUGUAUUUUUUCCUCAGAUUUGAUAAAGAGCCAGUGCCCUGGGCUCCAUGGCCCACGGCGGUGUAAUAAAGGUGCCCUGGGCUCAUUUGUGCUUCCUUCUGCCACUGUUCCUCUCACGGUCCCAGAGGUAUCCCAUUUGGAGCAAUGAGAGGAAGUCUGGGAUUGUGACCCACAAAAGGCUGUGUGUGGGGUGUGUGUUCCCUUUACACACACAUACAGCUUCUCCUUGGCAUCUGUACCAGGUGGUGGUGAAGGGGUCUCAGCCAAAGGACAGCAGCUCCUGCUUCCCCUCUGACUGCACACACUGCUCUUCCCGGCUUUCCUAACUUGCCGAGCUCGGUGCCUUUCCAGAGGACUAGGGCCCGGGCCCUCCGUCCCACCUGCGGAGGCUCGUCCUGUUUGAGUGCACAUAUGAUAAUGAUGUUUAAGGAUAUAGACCCAUCGCAGGCAUGGUGGUGUGCUGGGAGGCAGAGGCAGCAGAUCUCUGAAUUCCAGGCCAGCCUGGUCUACAGAGUGAGGAGGCCCUGUCUCAAAGUUUUGAACCAGAAACUUUGAAAGAGAAAUUGGACUCCCAGCCUGUGUGUGUUGUUGGAAAGCACAUUUCAUGGCACCAGAGACAGUUUGCAGCCUUCCUCUUGCCGUGGUGAAGCAACAGGAGCCUUUUCCCCCUUGAAAUGUCUCGUCUGUGAUUGAGUUUUUGGUAGUGGGUAUGUGGUUGAGCCAUGUAUGAGCACAUGCCAGUGUGUGCUGACAAGUGUUCCAGUAUGGGCUUGCUGUGCUGGUACAGGCUUGACACUGCCGCUCUCUGAGGUUCCUGUAGUUCACUAGUGUGUGGGGGCAUUCCAGUCCGGAGAAAGCAUAGCUUGUGUUGGUCACCUCCAAGAGACCCUCUAAAGCCACUUCUCUCUGUGACAGUCCUGUGCUUCUGUUCUCUGCAGCUCUCUGUUGUUAGAGGACGGCUUGUGGAGUCAUUUGGAAAACCUGAGCAGAUCCCUGAGGCCUUAGCACAGGGCUCUGAUUCUACCUUGGGAAGUGUUAGCGCAGCUAGGCCGGCUGGAACUACAGUGAUAGGUUGAGAGGACGCUCAGGAGAAGUCUGUCUUGCUGACAUCGAUGCAGAGAGGCUUUCCCACUUGGAGCCACCCUCCCAGCUUGUAGUCCCUGUCUGACUGCCCGGCACAUGGGCAUGUGUACUGUGGCAGUGUCUUGUUCAUGGCUGCUUGGGGAAGUUCUGAUUUUCCCUCUUAAUCUCGUUCUGUAAUGUGUACAUUUUAAUUUUAUGCCUUUUGCCUUUUGAUAACUGCAAAAAUAUACUAGAUGCCAGACUAAUAAAAAAGGGGUCCACUCUUGCCACAACUCUGAGGGCAGCCUGUUCAUGUCCUGGAGGCUUUACCCGUCACCUGUCCCCCUCCCUUAGUUUUCCUCUCAGCUUUUUGAGAUAGGUUCUGAUGGCCCAAAGUGGCCUCAAACUCUACAUACCCAAGGCUGGCCUUGAACUACCCUCCUGCUUCCCACUCCUGUGGUGCAAAUGUGGGUAUGCACCACCACGUGAGGCUCUCCAGCAGCUGUGAAACACUUUCGUGUUCUUGCUGUCCCCUGUUCUGCUGUCUUGAGGCCAUUUCUCUCCCUGGGUGAGCUGUAGACUUCACCUUUCGUCCCCCAGGCCAGUUCUGUCUGGGACUCCCUAAACCUAUGAGCUAGAAGAGACCUUCGACCAUUUGCUGCUGUUUAAAUUGCUUCCAAAAGAUCCCACCAAUUGUUCCAAAGUCGUCAUGGACAGUGGAAGCAUUUGUUUCCAGUUGUGCCCCUCCAUCCCCUGUCAGAUGGCCUCGGCUGAAUGACCAUGGGGAUGACCAAGCAACAAUGCCUGAGUGAGUUGAAUUUUUGCAGCCUCAGUCUGGUCUUUUCUUCCUCUGCAGAAUUGUCUGUGGCAGAUAGGUUUUGUUUUUGUUUUCCUCCUUGCUUGCUUCCACUAUGAGAUGCAGAGAAGGCAAGAGAAUUCCUAUUUCUUUAAAAACUUACACAAAAAAGAAAAAAACCCUAGAAUUUUCCAACUGAUCAGUUAUUAUGAAAAUUGCUGACAGUGCCAAGGCCAAGGAAAGAAUGUCAGAGGCGACUGAGAGGCGCAGCAGCCCCAGAGCACAUAUUCAGAGGGUGUCACCUGGCACUGAACAGGGACCUCCACCUUCCAGCUGGUUGGCUUUUCUGUUUGUCAGGGGGGAGGUUUUGACUUGUGAAGAACGCAGCAACAGAAGAUGCAUCCACAGAGAUGCAGUGCCCCACCUGUACUGCACCUGAGUAGUUAAUAAUUUCCUGAAGAAAUCUAGUGUACUUCAAAUUUUUUCAUAAAGGUUUACAUUGUAUUGUAGGUUAAUAUUAAACGUUUUAUAACAAAAAAUGUAU